This 400-nucleotide ribosomal RNA is filed under the name uncultured bacterium. Its description in RNAcentral is "bacterial SSU rRNA". It matches the Rfam family "Bacterial small subunit ribosomal RNA", at positions 355 to 752 of the family's 1533-position model. The record is from RNAcentral.
UAGGGAAUAUUGGGCAAUGGAUGCAAGUCUGACCCAGCCAUGCCGCGUGGAGGAAGAAGGUCCUCUGGAUUGUAAACUCCUUUUUUGGGGGAAGAAGAGACACCUUGCGAGGUGUUGUGACGGUACCCUAAGAAUAAGCCACGGCUAACUACGUGCCAGCAGCCGCGGUAAUACGUAGGUGGCAAGCGUUGUCCGGAUUUAUUGGGUUUAAAGGGUGCGUAGGUGGUUUAAUAAGUCAGUGGUGAAAGCUGGUUGCUCAACAAUCAAGUUGCCAUUGAUACUGUUAGACUUGAGAGAAGUGGAGGCUGGUGGAAUGGAUGGUGUAGCGGUGAAAUGCAUAGAUAUCAUCCAGAACGUCAAUUGCGAAGGCAGCUGGCUGUACUUUUUCUGACACUGAGGC